UACGAAGGGGGCUAGCGUUGUUCGGAAUUACUGGGCUUAAAGGGUUUGUAGGCGGCCUUGUAAGUCAGGUGUGAAAUCCCUCGGCUCAACCGAGGAAUAGCGCUUGAUACUGCAAGGCUUGAGGGAGACAGGGGUAAGCGGAACUGAUGGUGGAGCGGUGAAAUGCGUUGAUAUCAUCAGGAACACCGGUGGCGAAAGCGGCUUACUGGGUCUCUUCUGACGCUGAGGAACGAAAGCUAGGGGAGCGAACGGG
Molecule: ribosomal RNA, 253 nt
Filed under: uncultured bacterium
Lineage: Bacteria
Description: partial 16S ribosomal RNA
Rfam family: Bacterial small subunit ribosomal RNA
Source: RNAcentral